AAACCUUAAAACUCUAAUUUUAAAUAUUUCUAGUCGAUGGAACAUUGAGUAGGGGAUCAAUAUUUUCGGUAAGACUGGUACAUCCUGUGUAUGCUCGACAGAGAGGGUAAUUAAUCUCACAAUUACUUGUGUAUGACACUAAUAUAAGGAUGUAAGUGUUCAUUAGAGAAUGAAUUCACUGAAUUGAUCCAAUUAAAGAAUAUCUGAUGGAG
Molecule: long non-coding RNA, 212 nt
Filed under: Elaeis guineensis (African oil palm)
Lineage: Eukaryota; Viridiplantae; Streptophyta; Magnoliopsida; Arecales; Arecaceae
Description: long non-coding RNA (EGUI_LNC074218)
Source: RNAcentral